UGGCCAACAUGGACAUUUCUGCUUUA
This 26-nucleotide non-coding RNA is filed under the name Rattus norvegicus (Norway rat). Lineage: Eukaryota; Metazoa; Chordata; Mammalia; Rodentia; Muridae. The record is from RNAcentral.